UUUUACUAUAGAAAUAGAAACUUACCCAUUUCUAUUAUCUUAUGCUUUUAACUCUCUGUGACACUAAGGUGUUCCUUGAUGUGGUGCUAUGAUGAAGAUUAUGCCCAAUUAUACCCUCCAUGCCAAGAAAAAUGGAGCACUUCUUACUGAAACUUGAAGGUAUAUGACAUUGGUUCACAGUGACAAUCACAUGGUUUAAAGCAGAGCAGACCAUUGUGUGUCCCAAAGGGAAAGCUCACUGCAGCAUAAUUCAAGGUUGCAGUGACUUUCAUGAAGAAAUGAAGAUAAACAGAAAAUUUGUUGCUCAACACUCUGGGAAUAACUCACUUGGUUCUGCUACGAUUAAAAACCCCACAACUAAGAAUUCCACAUGGCCUAGUUAUUUCCUACAGAUGUCUGUGGUGACAGAGUAGAAGAAAGGACCUCUGAAGCUGACAUGCAGCAAGAAAGAAGUAUCAAGUGGAACAGAAACUGGCAAUAACAGCUGAAGAUAUGGAGCACCCAAAACCUAUAGAACACAAAAUAAAGGACAAGAAUUAUAUAUUUAUUUCA
Molecule: long non-coding RNA, 552 nt
Filed under: Cyanistes caeruleus (blue tit)
Lineage: Eukaryota; Metazoa; Chordata; Aves; Passeriformes; Paridae
Description: lncRNA (ENSCCEG00000022738.1)
Source: RNAcentral